GUCUCGGUGGCACAGCAGGAUAGCGCGGCCCCCUCCUAAGGGGCAGGUCAGGGGUUCGAAUCCCUUCCGGGACACCA
Molecule: transfer RNA, 77 nt
Filed under: Francisellaceae bacterium
Lineage: Bacteria; Pseudomonadati; Pseudomonadota; Gammaproteobacteria; Thiotrichales; Francisellaceae
Description: tRNA-Arg
Rfam family: tRNA
About the family: Transfer RNA (tRNA) molecules are approximately 80 nucleotides in length. Their secondary structure includes four short double-helical elements and three loops (D, anti-codon, and T loops).
Source: RNAcentral